UUUCUAGAUAGUUUAAAAAGAAUAGAAUUUUGAAGAAAUUUAGGUAGUAAUAAUU
This 55-nucleotide transfer RNA is filed under the name Russelliana sp. RNAcentral describes it as "tRNA-Phe". Lineage: Eukaryota; Metazoa; Arthropoda; Insecta; Hemiptera; Psyllidae. The record is from RNAcentral.